Long non-coding RNA from Pleuronectes platessa (European plaice), 428 nucleotides. RefSeq lists it as uncharacterized. NCBI's taxonomy places the organism in Eukaryota, Metazoa, Chordata, Actinopteri, Pleuronectiformes, Pleuronectidae. The transcript is spliced from 5 exons. The record is from RefSeq and is a predicted model, not a curated record.
CCUAAUCUGAGGCACAACGGGUAUGAGAUGAUCAUCUGAUUCAAACACUGUCAGAUUUGUAAGCAAGCUUCUGGUAUCCCGGAGGACUGACUGCCCAGUAAGGUGGUGGAGCAGCUAUACAAGGGAUUUUCAUUCAGAAGACCUACAGGACCUGCAUGGGAAUCCCCUGACUCACACACAUAACACAGCCUUGCAGACAGGGUUUACUGGAGUCUUAACCCAAAGACACCCUCAGCCACACAGUCUCCAUGCCACCACCCCAGUUUGUAGAUAAUCAAGGCCUAUCGCUGCCAACUGAGUGUAUGGUUAACUGAAUGCUUUGAUGUUCAAGCUUGACCUCAUCAGGAAACAUGUGCAGAGACUUGAUAGCCCAUUGGAGGAUCAGUCUGAUCCCUGCAUGACCCCCGACCCCCUGUGCAGAGAAAGGG